This 573-nucleotide long non-coding RNA is filed under the name Androctonus crassicauda. Lineage: Eukaryota; Metazoa; Arthropoda; Arachnida; Scorpiones; Buthidae. The record is from RNAcentral.
CUCUAUCAGAUAUAUUUACAGAAUUAUAGUUGUUCAAAGUUUUUUAACUUUAGUGAUAUCACUUUCAGUGAAGAUGACUGAUAGCAUAUUUGUGUCACAUCACAUUGACUUUGCAUUGCAUUACGAGAAUUGCAAGGAAAGCAUACACACACACAAAUUUAAUUUUGCAUAUAUAAAAUAUUAGCAACAGGCACUUUUAGACCAAACAAGAAUGGGCAUCACCUAUGAUGGAGUCAACCAAAAAAUUAAAGGAUGAGUUUCAAUGGGCUGAGCUUAAACUCUUGAAGGUAUGGAGUCCAGACUCUCCUGAAAACUUAAAGAUGGGAUCUGGAUCCUCAGGUGGUAAGCGACUGCUUUAUUGCAUAACCAUCCAGGCCAACUCUAUUAGUUUUGAUGGCAUAUAUUAUGAAAGGCAUCAGCUAGUUUAUCACUAAUAGCAGAGCUCCACUUUAUUUAUAUCUAUGGUUCUCAAUCGCCGUUCCAUAGAACAUGGAUGUUCUGCAGACCUAUUCAAGGUGUUCCGCAAAAUAAUUUAUUAAAUAAUUAAGUAUUAAAUAUUCAAGUAAUCAGAAU